This 751-nucleotide ribosomal RNA is filed under the name Lactobacillales bacterium BCOT-2. Its description in RNAcentral is "bacterial SSU rRNA". It matches the Rfam family "Bacterial small subunit ribosomal RNA", at positions 56 to 780 of the family's 1533-position model. Lineage: Bacteria; Bacillati; Bacillota; Bacilli; Lactobacillales. The record is from RNAcentral.
UGCAGUCGUACGCUUCUUUUUCCCCGGAGCUUGCUCCACCGGAAAAAGAAGAGUGGCGAACGGGUGAGUAACACGUGGGUAACCUGCCCAUCAGAAGGGGAUAACACUUGGAAACAGGUGCUAAUACCGUAUAACAAUCGAAACCGCAUGCUUUUGAUUUGAAAGGCGCUUUCGGGUGUCGCUGAUGGAUGGACCCGCGGUGCAUUAGCUAGUUGGUGAGGUAACGGCUCACCAAGGCUACGAUGCAUAGCCGACCUGAGAGGGUGAUCGGCCACAUUGGGACUGAGACACGGCCCAAACUCCUACGGGAGGCAGCAGUAGGGAAUCUUCGGCAAUGGACGAAAGUCUGACCGAGCAACGCCGCGUGAGUGAAGAAGGUUUUCGGAUCGUAAAACUCUGUUGUUAGAGAAGAACAAGGAUGAGAGUAACUGUUCAUCCCUUGACGGUAUCUAACCAGAAAGCCACGGCUAACUACGUGCCAGCAGCCGCGGUAAUACGUAGGUGGCAAGCGUUGUCCGGAUUUAUUGGGCGUAAAGCGAGCGCAGGCGGUUUCUUAAGUCUGAUGUGAAAGCCCCCGGCUCAACCGGGGAGGGUCAUUGGAAACUGGGAGACUUGAGUGCAGAAGAGGAGAGUGGAAUUCCUUGUGUUGCGGUGAAAUGCGUAGAUUUUUGGAGGAACACCAGUGGCGAAGGCGGCUCUCUGGUCUGUAACUGACGCUGAGGCUCGAAAGCGUGGGGAGCAAAAAGGAUAA